This is a long non-coding RNA of Drosophila gunungcola (fruit fly), 1201 nucleotides long. RefSeq lists it as uncharacterized. The transcript has 3 exons. The record is from RefSeq and is a predicted model, not a curated record. NCBI's taxonomy places the organism in Eukaryota, Metazoa, Arthropoda, Insecta, Diptera, Drosophilidae.
AUUUUAUAUCUCCUCUUUUAAGUAAAUGAAACAAAUAGUGAUAUACUUUCUACAUAAAAAAACAAUUGGAUUCUUAUCAAACAAAUAAAUGAAUUUGUAUGACCCUUUGGCUUGGAAUUUCCAUCUACUUAAGGACAGAACUGGGAGGAAGUCCCCUAACUGCAACUCAAUCGUCGGUCUUCAUGCGGCUAAUAAUUCCUUAAUCUGAAAUGUAUUAUGCAGUUCUAUGAUUGUUUAUUGCAUUAUGCGCCCGACUGGUCGUGGUCAUUGCCAUUGUCCGGUUAGGACUGCAGAGUGGAACCCGAAAAAGUGGCAAGCUCAUGGCGAUGUACCUAUAGUCUGUGAUGCACCUGUCUCAUCUUUGGCUUGAGCCAAGCGGAGGAAGAAGCAGCACAAGCCGGCUGCCGUCUGCCGGCUGUUGGCCGUCGACCGUCGACGUCGACCAUCGAAUGUUGGCCGUCUGUCCCUGCCGUCUGCCGUCUACCUGGGACAAUUGGCCAAACAUUAAGAGCACCACCGCCGGGCUGCGAAGUGGCCGGCAAUGUGGAUGUUGUUUGAACAGGCACUGGAACAGCCAGGGAAAGGCACUUGGACUCAACUGUUUAGAUUCCCAAAAGAGAGAGGCAGAAAAUUCAAUUUUUGAAUUUGUUUUCGAUGCAUAAACAAGAAUUGGUAAUAGGAAUUUGCCCCGCCUCUGCUUUGGCAGCACAACUUCCCUUCUCUGAUUAGGCCCUGCAGAGUCAAUAAAUAUGACCAAGUUAUGACUAAGAAUCACGGUAGGCUUCUUGGGGACUCCUCCACCAUUCCACCUGUCCUGUCCACAAUUUUCAAUUUGUGUACGCAAAUCCAGGGAAAUCGUGGCCCGACAUGAAACAACAGGGCUAAUGCUGAACGAAAAAAGCCCAACUAAAUCCGGCCAACUAUUACCAAACUAAACUGAACCGAGCCAUCUUGUAUGUUAAGUUAAUUCCACUCGGUGAGUUAUGAAUAAAUAAAUAUUGUAAAUGGUUUAUCGUGACUGCCUGUCGUUAUGUACAAAGUUCCCUCCGUUUUACCCACGACACACAUGCAAUGCCUUCAAGGAUAAAAGAUAUUGGGGUGUUGGCGAAGGACUGAGGGGCGGGGAUUCAUGACAUGCAAAUUGCAUUUUGUCAUUAUUCCGGGUUGUUUGAUCAAUUUUUAUGACAAAUUAUCGAAGAAA